UACAGAGGGGGCAAGCGUUGUUCGGAAUUACUGGGCGUAAAGGGCGCGUAGGCGGCCUUCUAAGUCGAACGUGAAAUCCCCGGGCUCAACCCGGGAACUGCGUCCGAGACUGGAAGGCUUGAAUCUGGGAGAGGGAUGUGGAAUUCCAGGUGUAGCGGUGAAAUGCGUAGAUAUCUGGAGGAACAUCGGUGGCGAAGGCGGCAUCCUGGACCGGUAUUGACGCUGAGGCGCGAAAGCCAGGGGAGCAAACGGG
Molecule: ribosomal RNA, 253 nt
Filed under: uncultured bacterium
Lineage: Bacteria
Description: partial 16S ribosomal RNA
Rfam family: Bacterial small subunit ribosomal RNA
Source: RNAcentral